RNAcentral lists this ribosomal RNA (253 nucleotides) under uncultured bacterium. RNAcentral describes it as "partial 16S ribosomal RNA". It matches the Rfam family "Bacterial small subunit ribosomal RNA", at positions 524 to 776 of the family's 1533-position model. The record is from RNAcentral.
UACGGGGGGGGCAAGCGUUGUUCGGAAUUACUGGGCGUAAAGGGCUCGUAGGCGGCCAACUAAGUCAGACGUGAAAUCCCCGGGCCUAACCUGGGAACUGCAUUUGUGACUGCAUGGCUAGAGUUUGUCAGAGGGGGGUGGAAUUCCACGUGUAGCAGUGAAAUGCGUAGAUAUGUGGAGGAACACCGAUGGCGAAGGCAGCCCCCUGGGAUGUGACUGACGCUCAUGUACGAAAGCGUGGGGAGCAAACAGG